RNAcentral lists this transfer RNA (102 nucleotides) under Herbaspirillum seropedicae. Its description in RNAcentral is "tRNA-Arg". The record is from RNAcentral. RNAcentral also lists the same sequence under 1 other name. Lineage: Bacteria; Pseudomonadati; Pseudomonadota; Betaproteobacteria; Burkholderiales; Oxalobacteraceae.
CGCUCAACUGGAUACAGCGCCGCGUCCCGUAAGGGAUGCAAGCCAACGAGCAAUGGCCUUCUAAGCCAUAGGUCGGGGGUUCGCGUCCCUCAGGGCAGGCCA